UGAGUGGCGGACGGGUGAGUAACGCGUGGGCAACCUGGCCUGUACAGGGGGAUAACACUUAGAAAUAGGUGCUAAUACCGCAUAACGGGGGAAGCCACAUGGCUUUUCCCUGAAAACUCCGGUGGUACAGGAUGGGCCCGCGUCUGAUUAGCCAGUUGGCAGGGUAACGGCCUACCAAAGCGACGAUCAGUAGCCGGCCUGAGAGGGCGGACGGCCACACUGGGGCUGAGACACGGCCCAGACUCCUACGGGAGGCAGCAG
RNAcentral lists this ribosomal RNA (261 nucleotides) under uncultured bacterium. RNAcentral's name for it is "partial 16S ribosomal RNA". It matches the Rfam family "Bacterial small subunit ribosomal RNA", at positions 92 to 354 of the family's 1533-position model. The record is from RNAcentral.